GAUGAACGCUAGCGGGAGGCCUAACACAUGCAAGCCGAGCGGUAUUUGUCCUUCGGGACAGAGAGAGCGGCGUACGGGUGCGGAACACGUGUGCAACCUGCCUUUAUCUGGGGGAUAGCCUUUCGAAAGGAAGAUUAAUACCCCAUAAUAUAUCGAAUGGCAUCAUUCGAUAUUGAAAACUCCGGUGGAUAGAGAUGGGCACGCGCAAGAUUAGAUAGUUGGUGAGGUAACGGCUCACCAAGUCAGUGAUCUUUAGGGGGCCUGAGAGGGUGAUCCCCCACACUGGUACUGAGACACGGACCAGACUCCUACGGGAGGCAGCAGUGAGGGAUAUUGGACAAUGGGUGAGAGCCUGAUCCAGCCAUCCCGCGUGAAGGACUAAGGCCCUAUGGGUUGUAAACUUCUUUUAUAAUGGGAUAAACCUACUUACGUGUAAGUAGCUGAAGGUACAGUAUGAAUAAGCACCGGCUAACUCCGUG
RNAcentral lists this ribosomal RNA (479 nucleotides) under uncultured bacterium. Its description in RNAcentral is "partial 16S ribosomal RNA". It matches the Rfam family "Bacterial small subunit ribosomal RNA", at positions 28 to 507 of the family's 1533-position model. The record is from RNAcentral.